This is a long non-coding RNA of Oryzias melastigma (Indian medaka), 467 nucleotides long. RefSeq lists it as uncharacterized. The record is from RefSeq and is a predicted model, not a curated record. The transcript is spliced from 3 exons. NCBI's taxonomy places the organism in Eukaryota, Metazoa, Chordata, Actinopteri, Beloniformes, Adrianichthyidae.
CUCAACCAAGAAGGUCAGAGUUCACGACUCAGACAGAUUUCCAGACAGAACCUCCUGGAGGAUCCUCAGAGGUUGAGAGGAGGAAGAAGAGGAAGCUUCCUCAAACAUCUGCAUGAUCCCGGUGAUCCCAGCAGAAACCAUCAAACCCUCCAGCCGGUUUGUUCAGCUCGGUUGUCAUGGAGACGGAUUGUGUGGAGCUGCAGCUCUCGGUCCGGAUCGGGUUGUUCUGCCUUGAGUUCCUGCCCAGUUUCCCUCGCUGAAGUACUCCUGCAGCCGCAGCCUCUCCUCACUGACGGCCUGCAGAGCUCUGAGGACGGACGGCUGAGAAACUCCACGUCUGCGCAGCUGAACCGGCGCCUGAUGGGCCUCAGGUCAGUCACCUCCAGACUCUCCACUCGGCUUUAGGAUUCUCCUGAGGAGAGGCGGUUCCUCUGCUACAACAUUCUGCAUGUUUGAGCUGAUCCGGA